Molecule: ribosomal RNA, 465 nt
Filed under: Vreelandella stevensii
Lineage: Bacteria; Pseudomonadati; Pseudomonadota; Gammaproteobacteria; Oceanospirillales; Halomonadaceae
Description: partial 16S ribosomal RNA
Rfam family: Bacterial small subunit ribosomal RNA
Source: RNAcentral
CCUACGGGUGGCUGCAGUGGGGAAUAUUGGACAAUGGGGGCAACCCUGAUCCAGCCAUGCCGCGUGUGUGAAGAAGGCCCUCGGGUUGUAAAGCACUUUCAGUGAGGAAGAACGCCUGGUGGUUAAUACCCAUCAGGAAAGACAUCACUCACAGAAGAAGCACCGGCUAACUCCGUGCCAGCAGCCGCGGUAAUACGGAGGGUGCGAGCGUUAAUCGGAAUUACUGGGCGUAAAGCGCGCGUAGGUGGCUUGAUAAGCCGGUUGGGAAAGCCCCGGGCUCAACCUGGGAACGGCAUCCGGAACUGUCAAGCUAGAGUGCAGGAGAGGAAGGUAGAAUUCCCGGUGUAGCGGUGAAAUGCGUAGAGAUCGGGAGGAAUACCAGUGGCGAAGGCGGCUUUCUGGACUGACACUGACACUGAGGUGCGAAAGCGUGGGUAGCAAACAGGAUUAGAUACCCGGGUAGUC